UAGCCUACGGGGCGCAGCAGUGAGGAAUAUUGGUCAAUGGCCGGAAGGCUGAACCAGCCAAGUCGCGUGAGGGAAUAAGGCCCUAUGGGUCGUAAACCUCUUUUGUCAGGGAGCAAAGGCGUCCACGUGUGGACGAGAGGAGAGUACCUGAAGAAAAAGCAUCGGCUAACUCCGUGCCAGCAGCCGCGGUAAUACGUAGGUGGCGAGCGUUAUCCGGAAUGAUUGGGCGUAAAGGGUGCGUAGGCGGCCUGCUAAGUCUGGAGUGAAAGGUACCGGCUCAACCGGUACAGGCGCUGGAAACUGGG
RNAcentral lists this ribosomal RNA (305 nucleotides) under uncultured bacterium. RNAcentral's name for it is "bacterial SSU rRNA". It matches the Rfam family "Bacterial small subunit ribosomal RNA", at positions 334 to 637 of the family's 1533-position model. The record is from RNAcentral.